RNAcentral lists this transfer RNA (69 nucleotides) under Pachydactylus robertsi. RNAcentral describes it as "tRNA-Trp". Lineage: Eukaryota; Metazoa; Chordata; Lepidosauria; Squamata; Gekkonidae. The record is from RNAcentral.
AAGCUUAGGUUAAACCUAUAAACCAAGAGCCUUCAAAGCACUAAACAGGGUUUUACACCCUAGCUUCUG